CACGAAUGGCGUAAUGAUGGCCAGGCUGUCUCCACCCGAGACUCAGUGAAAUUGAACUCGCUGUGAAGAUGCAGUGUACCCGCGGCAAGACGGAAAGACCCCGUGAACCUUUACUAUAGCUUGACACUGAACAUUGAGCCUUGAUGUGUAGGAUAGGUGGGAGGCUUUGAAGUGUGGACGCCAGUCUGCAUGGAGCCGACCUUGAAAUACCACCCUUUAAUGUUUGAUGUUCUAACGUUGGCCCGUAAUCCGGGUUGCGGACAGUGUCUGGUGGGUAGUUUGACUGGGGCGGUCUCCUCCUAAAGAGUAACGGAGGAGCACGAAGGUUGGCUAAUCCUGGUCGGACAUCAGGAGGUUAGUGCAAUGGCAUAAGCCAGCUUGACUGCGAGCGUGACGGCGCGAGCAGGUGCGAAAGCAGGUCAUAGUGAUCCGGUGGUUCUGAAUGGAAGGGCCAUCGCUCAACGGAUAAAAGGUACUCCGGGGAUAACAGGCUGAUACCGCCCAAGAGUUCAUAUCGACGGCGGUGUUUGGCACCUCGAUGUCGGCUCAUCACAUCCUGGGGCUGAAGUAGGUCCCAAGGGUAUGGCUGUUCGCCAUUUAAAGUGGUACGCGAGCUGGGUUUAGAACGUCGUGAGACAGUUCGGUCCCUAUCUGCCGUGGGCGCUGGAGAACUGAGGGGGGCUGCUCCUAGUACGAGAGGACCGGAGUGGACGCAUCACUGGUGUUCGGGUUGUCAUGCCAAUGGCACUGCCCGGUAGCUAAAUGCGGAAGAGAUAAGUGCUGAAAGCAUCUAAGCACGAAACUUGCCCCGAGAUG
This 816-nucleotide ribosomal RNA is filed under the name Escherichia coli. RNAcentral's name for it is "partial 23S ribosomal RNA". It matches the Rfam family "Bacterial large subunit ribosomal RNA", at positions 1991 to 2806 of the family's 2925-position model. Lineage: Bacteria; Pseudomonadati; Pseudomonadota; Gammaproteobacteria; Enterobacterales; Enterobacteriaceae. The record is from RNAcentral.